RNAcentral lists this long non-coding RNA (1288 nucleotides) under Nicotiana tabacum (common tobacco). RNAcentral's name for it is "long non-coding RNA (NTAB_LNC014348)". The record is from RNAcentral. Lineage: Eukaryota; Viridiplantae; Streptophyta; Magnoliopsida; Solanales; Solanaceae.
CUAAGAUAGAAGACCUAGUCUGAUGAACUUUCUCCUGGGAUAGAAAUCUUAGUCGGAUGAAUCUUUCUCCUAAGAUACCAAAAAAAAAGAAGAGAAAAAGGACCUAGUCUGAUGAAUUUUCUCCUAGGAUUAACGUCUUAGUCUGAUGAAUCUUUCUCCUAAGAUAGAAACCUAGUCUGACGAAUUUUCUCUUAGGAUAUUUUGGAAAAAAAAGGAAGUCGGGAUUUGAAAAAAAAGGGGUCAAUUUUUAGUUUUCUUUAGUUAUCAAUGUUUAGUUUUCUUGAAAUCAGGGAUCCCGCUUGGAGAAUAGGGUCAGUCUUUACUUUAGUCAAACUUAGUUUAUAGUUUUCCUAGUCUAUUCUUUAGUUUACUCUCAUCAUUGCAUCAAUAGUACAAGUUGUUUACAAUUUUGCGAACAACUCACAAAUCUUCCUAAUGCAAACCGGGGCAGAAAAAAAUUCUUUUGUUUUGUUUGUUUUGUUGUAAUCAGGCGCCCACCUGGAGAACAAGGGAAGACAACUCAAGUUUGAAGGGAAAGCAGUUUCGAAGGAAGACAACUCGAGUUUCAAGGGAAAGCAGUUUCGAAGGAAGACAAUUCAAGUUUUAAGGGAAAAUGGUUCAAGGUGCAAGGGAAAACAAUGUCAAGUAACAAGAGAAGACGGUUCAAGUUCAGCAAUCAGGCGCCCACUUGGAAAACAAAAGGGGGAAUUCAAUUCAGAAUGCAAUUCAGGUCAGCAACAAAAGAAGCUCGCGUCAAGAAUGCGAGUCAGCAGUCCAAGAUGAUCAACCGAAGUUAGUCACAAUCUAGAAUAAAAAGAAAAAAAAAAGAAAGACAAGAAGUGAAUCCAAAUGCAGAAGUUAAUGAAAGAUGUGAGUUGCUCAAGACAGGGCUGAGGUCACAAGCUCUGCAUGUCCCGUCUUGGUUUGAAAAAGCUGAAGAAGAUUGAACUAACACCCGCAGCUAACAAGUAUCAAGAUUCAGAUCAGAGUCCGCAUGAAAAACCAACCAAGACUCAAGAUCAAGCUUCAGAAGACUCAUAGAUAGGAAUCUUGUAAUUCGUAGCUGAUAGGCUUAGUUAAUCUUUUUUAUUUUUGAUUUUGAUGUAAUAACGAGAUCGCGGACCGGAACCUCGGCGGAAUGACAUCUCGACCGGCUCUCCAUCUCGGCACACUCCAUCAUCUCACUCACCUUUGAACUACACGUGGCCUGAUUCCUUUAUAGCCAAGGAUAUGUAGACAACUCAGAUACCAGGGCUCGGUCACAUUCCCCUCUCUCUUAGUUUUAGUU